Lagopus muta (rock ptarmigan) is the source of this 5970-nucleotide RNA transcript. It is a transcript of the gene named adaptor related protein complex 1 subunit sigma 2, with no coding region annotated. The record is from RefSeq and is a predicted model, not a curated record. The transcript has 6 exons. NCBI's taxonomy places the organism in Eukaryota, Metazoa, Chordata, Aves, Galliformes, Phasianidae.
GCGAGGCGGCGGGUGCGGGGGGGGUGGGGGCGGCCGUUGAGGCUGCGCGCGCGCUGGCGCCGGGCUCGAGCCGGCGGCGUCUCCCUUCCCUUCCCUCAGUCCCGCGCGGCGGCCGUGGCGGCAGCAGCAAGCUCGGGAGCGGUGCCACCUCCUCCUGCUCUUCGUCCUCGCUCUCCCCUCCGGGGCACGAUGCAGUUUAUGUUGCUUUUUAGUCGCCAGGGGAAACUGAGACUCCAGAAGUGGUAUGUCCCACUAUCUGACAAAGAAAAGAAGAAAAUCACAAGGGAACUUGUUCAAACAGUAUUAGCCCGCAAACCGAAAAUGUGCAGCUUCCUGGAAUGGAGAGACCUGAAGAUUGUCUACAAAAGAUAUGCAAGCCUCUAUUUCUGCUGUGCCAUUGAAGAUCAGGACAAUGAACUAAUAACUCUGGAAAUAAUUCAUCGUUAUGUAGAACUUCUUGACAAGUAUUUUGGCAGUGUAUGUGAACUUGAUAUCAUCUUCAAUUUUGAAAAAGCCUAUUUUAUUCUGGAUGAGUUUCUCUUGGGAGGGGAGGUCCAGGAGACUUCCAAAAAAAAUGUUCUCAAAGCCAUUGAACAGGCAGAUCUUCUACAGGAGAGCCAGAAUGAAGACUGGGGAGGUUUGUCUGAGGAUAUCUUAUGAUUAAGAGCAAUCUAAGACAUUAGCCCUUUUGACCCCCAUCUAGACGAUUGGAAGCAGAGACCCCACGUAGUGUACUUGAAGAAAUUGGAUUGACAUAAGUCUUCACUUCAGCUGAUGACAUCUCAGUGUUUCAUACUGUAAAUGUUCACUGCCUUCAUUGUAAUGUUUAGCUAAUGGUGUAAGAUGCUGUUUGUCAGUAUUACUGUUUUGCUAAGCUGCUUCAUUCAGGCCUACAAGGGAAAUACUCCUUUGAAAAGGGAACGAGAAAUUAAGGCCAAAAAUCAUAAACGAAAGGGAAUUUGAUUUAAAUUGACUCAGUGUCUCUUCUCACUGCAUUUAUAGAAAAAAAAAAUGCAUUUAAUUUCAAUAAGUGUACUGUUUUUAUAAGCAAAUGACUUCAGGAGAUAAAUGUAUCGUUGACAUAACAUAUCUAAAUGAAAAGAAUACAUGGACACCUUCAAGUAUGAAAUGUUGUAGAAAUUGUGUUUAUGCAACCAAAGACUUUUUGUUCAUCUGCAUUUUUAGUAAAUAGUUGCCAUAAUUCUGCUUUUAUUCAGUUAACGCGUUAAAUUGGAAAUAACUGUUUACUUCUGAAUUUGCCAUUAUACCAAAGAAUCCUGUUAGGAUCUGCAUAUCCAACUGGUUAAAACUGUUAAGGUGGCAUUGCUUUUUGCAAGACAACUGCAAACUGAUCAUUUACUAGCAGUGAAAGUGUAUUUACAUGUAAUUAUCUUGAUGAAAACUGUGCAAGUUACUAUAUUAAAAAGGGAAUGCAUGUAGUUUAAAAAAAAGAAAAAAGAAAAAAUAUCAAAAUGGGGAAACUAUUUUUAAACCAGUACUGGCUUGCUCUGAACAUAGGCACACAAAAAAAAGGGAAGUAGCCUUUUUGACUGUAUAGAGAGGUACGUAAUGAAAAUGGGAUACUUUUGAACAUGGGAGCUUUACAAAAGGGAGUUUUUAUGAUUUUCUUUUGAAUUCUACAAAUUAAUUUGUAUUUAUUCGCGUUUUGUAGUUACGCUUUAAUGGGUGUCUGAGCACCUUUAAGAAAAAGCAUCAGCUUAAUUUUGACUACUUUUCUCGACUUACUCCUUUCCCAUGUGGCACAUCCCAUAAGUACUGUGCAGUAGAACCAACUAAUUUGCAGUGAGAAUUUUGUACACUACGUUCACUGCAAAUUGGGGGAAGUGAAAUGAAGUAACAGUUCAACAUUUUGUGCAGACUCUCAGAAGUUGUACACUAGAACUGUUUCACUUGAAGGAGUUCAUUUGAUGUGUGCUUUUGAGUUCUGGGAAGGUAGCAGCACACUUUGGAGUAGCAGUGCUACUGUGCGUGUGUGUGGUCCCUGAGAAUGUUCAGCUUUCUUUCUUUCUCCUCCCAUCCCAGGAACUUCGUUUAGAAUUCAGAUAAGUAGCGCCAUGUACGUUUUCACAAAACUUGGCUUUGGCAUUGGUGUUGGAAGCAGUCGUGUGGUGCUAGCACAAGCAGUUUCACAGCCAGCUGUGGCUCAAUCUGAUCUAGACUAAAUGUAACCCACCAGCAAAAGGCUGGCACUGACACUCAUUCCCUGAUCCAGAUCCAGGUAGCGGUGCUGGUGGCAGCAAAGGGGCUGACCAGUGCAGAGGGGGGCCGGGUCUGGGGCUGCAGCUUCAGUAGCUGUGCCCGAGUGGAGCCUAAGAACCUGCAGCAUGCAAACUUGUCCGUUUAAGCCAUUUCUGGGAUUUAAAUAUACCAGAUUACUCGAGACCAUGUUUAAGGGAAGGCACACAAAAGCAGUCGUUAGCAUUUUCCCGGUGCACAAGGGCAGGGAUAGGAUGAGGUUCAUGUGGUGCUAGAAUGACCCUUGGUGUGAGACUGAAGUUGUGAAAUUACCUUAAGUCAAACCUGAAGCGAUUUCCUAUGUAUUAAACAUUUUUGAAGUUUACACUGUCACUUGUAUGUGCUUGGCUGGGUUAAGCUUUGUUGUGAUUGUGACAAAUAAACUGUUUGACCUUUGUCGUACUGUCCCAUUGGUUUAGUUGUAAUAAAUGUCCAUUUUUACACCGUUGCUUUGUGCUUAUAUGUAAUUAGUUCUGAUUUUCUGCAGAGGGGGUGGAAGAAAAAAAGCAACUCAUUGCUAGUUUAAAAAAGGGGGAAUUUUAUUACAGUGCUUAACUUGCUCUUGAGCACUUUAUUAAAAAAUGUGCGAGAAUACUGUGUCCAAGAUUAGUUAUUUACAUCCAUUUAAAUUCUACAGAAAGCAAUAAAUUAGCGAGUUCUUUGGAAGGCUUAUCACAUUAAACAUGGAAUUUAUUAGAAAGGAUGGUAAAAUGAUGUGGUUGUCCCAUUUCAUUUGAAAUUAAACCACAAAACUGAUUGAGAGAGGGUUCUAGAUGAUGAUGAUACAGUCUCGCUAGUCAGCUCCUCAAAUGGAAUUAUGAACAUGGCUGUGCAGCAUUCACAGUCUUACAACCCUUAUUUCAGACCCAAAUUUCUCUUGGCUAAUCUGCUUUCCGGCUUUCUAGAACUGAACUCCUUGAUGUUACCAGCAAAAGCAUGGGGAAAUCUUAGUACCUUAGGGCAUUCCUUCAGUCAGAUGCGAAAGUAAUAUUUAGUUUCUUGAAUUUCCUGUCUUACCAAGAGACAAAUGAAAAGAGAAGCGAAAAGCAUCUGUUAGAAUUUCUAGAUUGUUUAGGCUUAGAUUGUUUGCUUGAGUGUCUUCAGUGUAAUCAUGGAAUCUUUGUUGAAGAUUCCUAACUGUCUGCUGUUCCCUUUGAGUCAACAGCGUAAUGAUGGUCAUGCUGUGGCUGCCUUUGUCAAUUAAUGCGUUCAUGGGCUGUGCCUGUACAGCUUCCCUUCCAAUCAGUCUCAUAGUUUUCUGAACUGUAGUUUGUCAGUUACCUUUUAUUUAUUUCUUUACGUGUCAGUGACAGAUGCUGCACUCAGCUGAUGCAUCAGAGCUGAAUAAAAGGAUGGAUGGAAUAAUAGGGAGUUAUUUUAAUCACAGCAAGCUUACAGUGAAAGCAGAAUCAGUGGCACUCUUUGUAAGUGUAAUUUGUUUUCGUAUAUCAUUUAAUUUUUUGACUAGCAUAGACUUCCACAUUUUGCAAAAGGUGCUGAUUCAGGGCAGGAAGUAAGAGCAUCUCUGAGCAGGCUCUUGCAUUUCUUCUGAAAGCCAUUAUUUGUGCAUCCCAAGAAUGCUGCAACUGGUUCAAGUAAAUAAAUACACUGAAUGUGGUAAUGCGCAGCUGAAUCUGAGAAAGACAUCCUACUGAAGGAUGUAAUGCUGAAGAAGUUACUUAGAAUACAUUUCAGACUGUCUGUUUCCAUCAGCAAGGGAAAGGCCUUCAUCUGUGCUUGUUGCCUCUUCAUGAAAGUGGAUGCCUUGCGUCUAGCAUAUGAGUGUGGGCAAGUCCUCCUGACGCCCGUGUGAUAAUGGCUACUCAGCUAGCAUGGCAACCAUGCUGGGAAGGGAAAAGACUUCAAAGCAGUCACCAGCACAAACCUAAAGGUGUGCUGCCUUCCCAGGUGCCUUUGUCUCUCCUGUUGCAGGACACCUGCUGUCUUAUUAUCUGGAAACAUUUUGGGUAAGCACCUGGAGUUGGACGAUUUUUAUGAAGUAGCUGGACUUCAACAUCCAAGUUCCUGCUCAGAUACCUUACUCCUCUCCACAGGAGAAUGGUCAGAGCAGCGCCUGUUACUGAUCCUGACCUCCCAGCUGGCUGGACCUGGCAGGAGAGCCCCGCUGCUGCUCUAACCCCCUUCAUGCAGCUCUUGUAUAAAUAAUGCUUUCAUCAUCAAUCCAAAGCACUUUAGUGAUAUUUACAAACUUCAUAAUAAAGUUUGAAAGCAGCUGCUUUAAGCAGUCAUUCAAAAGAUAAAAGCACACAUAAAGCUGGACCACCAUUAAUUCACUUUACAUAGUCCUUCUAUGUGGAUUACACAGAAUAGCACAAAGUGAGAACAAGCUAUUCCUUGCAAAUCUAAAUCCAUCCUAAGUUGUUCUGGGCUUUUCUCCUUUGGAGAAAGAAGCUUAACGUUUAGGAAUUCUAGUUGCCUCGUCUCUUCCGAGUAAAUAGCUCACUUAGCUAAUAAGGAAAGAAAACCAUGCAUACGAUACUACUUAAGAUUAUGAAGUAGGGAAACAACACCAAAAUAUAUGAACUUUUACAUUUGAAAACUGGUUGAAUUCCAGGUUUCAUGCUAACAAAAGCAAACAAAAUGUCAGAUCUACAGCACUUGUUUUGGUGCAAUAAGCAGACAGGAUGUGAAACUGAAUAGUUACAGCUACCAGUCCUACAGCGCACAGGUACAGCCAGGGAGUUUGGAUCCAGAUCUCACGAAAAGCAGCUGAAGGUUUGGCCGUUAGAGUAGCAGAAAUAAAGUACAUUUAAAUUUUACAUGCAUCUCUGAGCAAGUUUUUAUUAUUAUUAUAAGAACUUUUUUUAAAAAAAUACAGCUGCUCAGCUUCCCAGAUCCCAUUACAAAAGUGGGGAGAAGGAGCCUUAUUACCUGUGGAAUUCUCACGUGGGUCUUAGUUGGCACAUGGUUGCUAAUCCUAUAGAGGUCCGCUUCACUUAUUUCACCCGGCUUGUCACAGAUUUCACAAAAACAGCAUCCCACCACACCUGCUUCACUUCUGGUUGAGCUUGGUAAUUUAUUUCCCUCACACAACCCUCAGCAACAGCCUGCCGCACGGCACAGGCUAUACAACACACUACAGAUAGAGUAAAUCUUUCCUAUUCAAGAGCCUCAACCAGCAGGCUGGUUCAGCAGAAUUCCAGUUGCAGGAAGCAAGGCAGCACCAGUGAUGUGAGGAUCUUACUGGCCUGUUAGCAAUGCAUCUCAGCAAGCAGGGAAUGCCAGCUCAGCUGCGUGAAUUUGCCACAUUUUGCAUAAGUACCCCAACUAGACAAGUGAGCAUCCAUGAAAAAAUAGAAACCCUGGGGAAAAUCUGUACAGUGUAGUCAGAAAAGAUACAUUAUGAGAAACCCAUCGUCUCAAAUUUCUCCUAUAUAAUUUAAAACUUAGUGUCGUCCAUUGAAAUAUGCCUUUCAGGUGAAGUUACUAUUACUUCAAAAGUUAUGCCAUUAAAUCACAAUUCCUAUAUCUGUUAAUAAUUAAAACAUCUAAUCAAAUUAACUAAGCUACCGUUCUGUCUACAGUUAUGACAACAUAUAAUGAAAGUUGGGUUUGAACUGAACAACAACAUAUAGCACUUUUGUUGAAUUACUCCAUAGUGGACAACAGUUAUACAUGAAAAAAGAAAAAAAGUAUCAUCAGCAUGCUAGGUGCAAUAUGCAUUUAGAAAAGAAAAAAAAAAAAAAUUUUAAA